AAUUUCAUGAAUGUGCUUAUGGAGCUUUGUGUGCUCGCCCGCUGAUUGCACGGCCGGGUUUCCAACGGAGCACGGACCGGUAGCAGUCCACGGGCCGGAGAUUGGGGAGCCCUGCUCUAAGUGACAUCCAUACAGCUUCACCAUGCUGAGAAAUAUUUUACCAAUAGAGAUUUAAAAGCUGUGAACAUAUGAACAGGUAGCAACAACAAUUUCCAAAUCAUCCUGAGCUUCAGUCUUCCUGAUGCCAACUUCUCCUCCUUCACAGGUCACCUUCAUGGACAGAAUGUGGGGACUGAUGGAAUUAAUAAAUGAAGGUCAUCAAAGACAUGGAGACCUCCACUCACAAAGACUUGUUGCCUUCCCGGAAGACCUUUCAGCGAAAACUAUGUCAACUAAAGUCAAGGAUGGAGAACAUUUUUCACCCUCAGGUGACUCUACUACUUCUAAUGAUAAUAUUCCUAGGAUAGGCUGAUAAUCUAUCAUUCACAGUUAAAAGAACUCAACACUUUUCUUAAAUAUCUAUUUGCUAUUGAGGUCCAAUAACUCUUUCUGGAGUUCUACCUAACUGUUGAGAUACACUUAAUUAAUUAGUGGGGUAAAAUUAAAAAAGAGAGAUAAAUAAAUAAAAUUGUUAAUCUGUUAUUAUUUUCCACUAGAAGUUUUCUAAAAAAAAAAACAGCUCCAAAAGGAUCAAAUAAAUAUCUUCCUCUGAGCAAUUUUUACUCUUUUAAAUGCUACAGAGCCAAAAAUCCAUUUGUUUGUAAGCCUAGGAGUGCUGAUCACAUUUUAUUAGGAAACCCUGAAGGAAAACAAAACAGAAGCCUAAUCUGCUUACUUGAAAUAGUAAAUAAUGGAAGGGAUCCAAUAUAUUUCAGCAAAGAUUCUUCCCCUCAAAUGAGAGUUACUGAAAUUAACAUUAAAGCUGUAAUGUUAAUUCUUUUCCAUCCGUUUUUACACACAUGGGUUUUCAUAUUUUUGUCAUGUGUUAUUUUUCAAUCCCUGCUUUCAGAAAUUACUGGGGAUAGAAGAGGCUUCAAUUAGGUUAUUCUUUUGGCAGUUUCACUUUCUCAUAGAGACAAAUAGUCCCAUAAUCGUUAGCAAAAUGAAGUACUGAUUUUUAAAGGUGGGGCCCAUUGUUUAAUCCCCUAUCUCAGCAGAUUUCAGUGCAAAUUCAACAAAGAAAGAUAAAACUGACCUGAAA
Non-coding RNA from Pantherophis guttatus, 1201 nucleotides. The record is from RefSeq and is a predicted model, not a curated record. Lineage: Eukaryota; Metazoa; Chordata; Lepidosauria; Squamata; Colubridae.